This 503-nucleotide ribosomal RNA is filed under the name uncultured bacterium. RNAcentral describes it as "partial 16S ribosomal RNA". It matches the Rfam family "Bacterial small subunit ribosomal RNA", at positions 30 to 523 of the family's 1533-position model. The record is from RNAcentral.
AUUGAACGCUGGCGGCAGGCUUAACACAUGCAAGUCGAGCGGGGUGAUGGUGCUUGCACUAUCACUUAGCGGCGGACGGGUGAGUAAUGCUUAGGAAUCUGCCUAUUAGUGGGGGACAACAUCUCGAAAGGGAUGCUAAUACCGCAUACGUCCUACGGGACAAAGCAGGGGAUCACUUGUGACCUUGCGCUAAGAGAUGAGCCUAAGUCGGAUUAGCUAGUUGGUGGGGUAAAGGCCUACCAAGGCGACGAUCUGUAGCGUGUCUGAGAGGAUGAUCCGCCACACUGGGACGGAGACACGGCCCAGACUCCUACGGGAGGCAGCAGUGGGGAAUAUUGGACAAUGGGGGGAACCCUGAUCCAGCCAUGCCGCGUGUGUGAAGAAGGCCUUAUGGUUGUAAGGCACUUUAAGCGAGGAGGAGGCUCUUUUGGUUAAUACCCAAGAUGAGUGGACGUUACUCGCAGAAUAAGCACCGGCUAACUCUGUGCCAGCCGCCGCGGUAA